This 21-nucleotide non-coding RNA is filed under the name Mus musculus (house mouse). The record is from RNAcentral. Lineage: Eukaryota; Metazoa; Chordata; Mammalia; Rodentia; Muridae.
CCUUUAAUCUCGACACUUGGA